ACGGGUGAGUAACGCGUAAGCAAUCUGCCCCCUGCUCGGGAAUAGCCGUGCCAACGCGCGGGUAAUACCGGAUAUCGUGGGGCCCUGCAUAGGGCCUUGACAAAAGAUUUAUCGGCAGGGGAUGAGCUUGCGUCCGAUUAGCUAGUUGGCGGGGCAACGGCCCACCAAGGCGACGAUCGGUAGCCGGCCUGAGAGGGUGAUCGGCCACAUUGGGACUGAGAUACGGCCCAGACUCCUACGGGAGGCAGCAGUAGGGAAUAUUGCACAAUGGGGGGAACCCUGAUGCGGCAACGCCACGUGUGGGAAGAAGCAUUUCGGUGUGUAAACCACUGUCGUGAGGGAAUAAGGCUAAUUUUCGGAUUAGUUGAAUGUACCUCGAGAGGAAGCACCGGCAAACUUCGUGCCAGCAGCCGCGGUAAUACGAGGGGUGCAAGCGUUGUUCGGAAUCACUGGGCGUAAAGGGAGCGCAGGCGGAAGCUCAAGCGGAUUGUACAAUACCGGGGCCCAACCCCGGACCUGCAGUCCGAACUGGGUUUCUUGGAUAGUUCAGGGGCAAGCGGAAUUCCUGGUGUAGCGGUGGAAUGCGUAGAGAUUAGGAAGAACACCGAUGGCGAAGGCAGCUUGCUGGGGACUUAUCGACGCUCAUGCCCGAAAGUGCGGGUAGCAAACAGGAUUAGAUACCCUGGUAGUCCGCACCGUAAACGAUGCAUACUGGGUGUCCGCGGUUCGCCGCGGGUACCGUAGCCAACGCGUUAAGUAUGCCGCCUGGGGAGUACGUACGCAAGUAUGAAACUCAAAUGAAUUGACGG
This 809-nucleotide ribosomal RNA is filed under the name uncultured bacterium. Its description in RNAcentral is "bacterial SSU rRNA". It matches the Rfam family "Bacterial small subunit ribosomal RNA", at positions 102 to 916 of the family's 1533-position model. The record is from RNAcentral.